Molecule: unclassified non-coding RNA, 400 nt
Filed under: Phellinus robiniae
Lineage: Eukaryota; Fungi; Basidiomycota; Agaricomycetes; Hymenochaetales; Hymenochaetaceae
Description: partial internal transcribed spacer region
Rfam family: Eukaryotic small subunit ribosomal RNA (bases 1-46)
Source: RNAcentral
AAGUCGUAACAAGGUUUCCGUAGGUGAACCUGCGGAAGGAUCAUUAACGAACUUGAAAUCGGGAGUCUGUUGCUGGUGCGGAAACGUACAUCGUGCACGGCUUCUGUGUUCAAUUCAACCCCUGUGCACCUCAUCGAAGCCGGUAGUCCCUUUAUCUUCUUCGUUUUGCCGGUCGCGUGCGGUGCGGAUCGCGAGUAGCGAGUAAGGCGAACGCAACUCCGGUUGUCAGUAGCUUGAAACCGAAAGUGGUCUGCCUUCACGUUCGGCCGGCGAGAGGGGGGAGAGGUCGAGGGUCGAAAGCUUUGACUUGCCAUUAAACGCUUUGUAUGUCUUGUGGAAUGUAUUAGCUCCUUCGUGGGCGAAAUAAAUACAACUUUCAACAACGGAUCUCUUGGCUCUC